CCUACGGGAGGCAGCAGUGGGGAAUAUUGCACAAUGGGCGAAAGCCUGAUGCAGCGACGCCGCGUGAGCGAAGAAGUAUUUCGGUAUGUAAAGCUCUAUCAGCAGGGAAGAUAAUGACGGUACCUGACUAAGAAGCACCGGCUAAAUACGUGCCAGCAGCCGCGGUAAUACGGAGGAUCCGAGCGUUAUCCGGAUUUAUUGGGUUUAAAGGGAGCGUAGAUGGAUGUUUAAGUCAGUUGUGAAAGUUUGCGGCUCAACCGUAAAAUUGCAGUUGAUACUGGUUUCCUUGAGUGCAGUUGAGGCAGGCGGAAUUCGUGGUGUAGCGGUGAAAUGCUUAGAUAUCACGAAGAACCCCGAUUGCGAAGGCAGCUUACCAAACUAUAUCUGACGUUGAGGCACGAAAGCGUGGGGAGCAAACAGGAUU
RNAcentral lists this ribosomal RNA (424 nucleotides) under uncultured Gibbsiella sp. RNAcentral's name for it is "bacterial SSU rRNA". It matches the Rfam family "Bacterial small subunit ribosomal RNA", at positions 338 to 779 of the family's 1533-position model. Lineage: Bacteria; Pseudomonadati; Pseudomonadota; Gammaproteobacteria; Enterobacterales; Yersiniaceae. The record is from RNAcentral.